Molecule: transfer RNA, 72 nt
Filed under: Heterocephalus glaber (naked mole-rat)
Lineage: Eukaryota; Metazoa; Chordata; Mammalia; Rodentia; Bathyergidae
Rfam family: tRNA
About the family: Transfer RNA (tRNA) molecules are approximately 80 nucleotides in length.
Source: Rfam by way of RNAcentral
GAAGAUGUAGCUUAGUGGUAGAGUGCUUGCUUGGCAUGCACAAGGCUCUGGCUUCAAUGACCAGUAUCACCA